GAUGAACGCUGGCGGCGUGCUUAACACAUGCAAGUCGAACGAAGCAUUACUGACAGAAGCCUUCGGGUGAAAGAUAGUAAUGACUGAGUGGCGGACGGGUGAGUAACGCGUGAGUAACCUACCUUAUACAGGGGGAUAACAGUUGGAAACGACUGCUAAUACCGCAUAAGCAUACAGUACCGCCUGGUACAGUGUGAAAAACUCCGGUGGUAUAAGAUGGACUCGCGUCUGAUUAGCUAGUUGGUGAGGUAACGGCCCACCAAGGCGACGAUCAGUAGCCGACCUGAGAGGGUGACCGGCCACAUUGGGACUGAGACACGGCCCAAACUCCUACGGGAGGCAGCAGUGGGGAAUAUUGCACAAUGGGGGAAACCCUGAUGCAGCGACGCCGCGUGAAGGAUGAAGUAUUUCGGUAUGUAAACUUCUAUCAGCAGGGAAGAAAAUGACGGUACCUGACUAAGAAGCCCCGGCUAAUUACGUGCCAGCCGCCGCAGUAA
This 497-nucleotide ribosomal RNA is filed under the name uncultured bacterium. RNAcentral's name for it is "bacterial SSU rRNA". It matches the Rfam family "Bacterial small subunit ribosomal RNA", at positions 28 to 523 of the family's 1533-position model. The record is from RNAcentral.